UUGAUGGUAGUCUAUACACAUCCAUAGAUACCCAUCCUUUUUUCACAUGAGAAUAAUAGGAGCACCCUAAGUAAAGAUAUUGGGACGGAUAAUACCCUUAUUAGGGAGAUCCUUUAAUUUCUCCUUUAGUUCUUUCAGCUUUGCCGGAGCCAUUCUAUAAGGAGUAAUAGAAAUAGGAAGGGUAUCCAAUAGAAGAUAAAUCCUAAAGUCUAU
Molecule: long non-coding RNA, 213 nt
Filed under: Capsicum annuum
Lineage: Eukaryota; Viridiplantae; Streptophyta; Magnoliopsida; Solanales; Solanaceae
Description: long non-coding RNA (CANN_LNC018963)
Source: RNAcentral